Molecule: ribosomal RNA, 468 nt
Filed under: uncultured bacterium
Lineage: Bacteria
Description: partial 16S ribosomal RNA
Rfam family: Bacterial small subunit ribosomal RNA
Source: RNAcentral
GACGAACGCUGGCGGCGUGCUUAACACAUGCAAGUCGAACGGAAAGGUCCGGCUGUUGCGGGGUGCUCGAGUGGCGAACGGGUGAGUAACACGUGAGUAAACUGCCCCUGACUGUGUGAUAACAUCAGGAAACUGGGGCUAAUACCGGAUAGGAGCUCCUGCUGCAUGGGGGGGGUUGGAGAGUUUCGGCGGUUGGAGAUGGACUCGCGGCUUAUCAGCUUGUUGGUGGGGUAGUGGCUGACCAAGGCUUUGAGGGGUAGCCGGCCUGGGAGGGUGGCCGGCCUCAUUGCGCCUGGGGUACGGCACAGCCUCGAACGGGACGCAGCGGUGGAGAGUAUUACACAGUGGGCGGGAGCCAGAGGUGGCACCGCCGCGUGCGGAAUGACGUGCUUCGGGUAGUAAACCACUUUCGCCUGUGCCGAGGCGUUAGUGACGGUACCGGGUAAAGAAGCACCGGCUAACUACGUG